This 83-nucleotide transfer RNA is filed under the name Schistocephalus solidus. It matches the Rfam family "tRNA". From Rfam's summary of the family: Transfer RNA (tRNA) molecules are approximately 80 nucleotides in length. Their secondary structure includes four short double-helical elements and three loops (D, anti-codon, and T loops). The record is from Rfam by way of RNAcentral. Lineage: Eukaryota; Metazoa; Platyhelminthes; Cestoda; Diphyllobothriidea; Diphyllobothriidae.
GGCCGCGUAGCUCAGUUGGCUUGAGCGCUGGUUGUAUUAAAGCCUUCCCCUUGCUGGUGUGGGUUCGAAUCCCACCGAGGCCA